Camellia sinensis is the source of this 156-nucleotide non-coding RNA. Lineage: Eukaryota; Viridiplantae; Streptophyta; Magnoliopsida; Ericales; Theaceae. The record is from RefSeq and is a predicted model, not a curated record.
GACCCUCGGCAACGGAUAUCUCAGCUCUCGCAUCAAUGAAGAAUGUAGCAAAAUGCGAUACUUGUUGCGAAUUGCAGAAUCCCGCAAACCAUCGAGCCUUUGAACGCAAGUUGCGCCUGAAGCCAUUAGGUGGAGGGCACAUCUGCCUAGGCGUCU